GAUGAACGCUGGCGGCGUGCCUAAUACAUGCAAGUCGAGCGAACAGACGAGGAGCUUGCUCCUCUGACGUUAGCGGCGGACGGGUGAGCAACACGUGAAUAACUUACUUAUAAGACUGGGAUAACUUCGGGAAACCGGAGCUAAUACCGGAAAAUAUAUUAAUCCGCAUGGUUGCAUAGUGAAAAACGGUUUUGUUCUCAUUUAUAGAUGCAUCGUCGCCGAAUUAUCUAGUUGGUAAGGUAAGGGCUUACCAAGCCAAUGAUCAGUAGCCCACCUGGGAGGGUGAUCGGCCCAACGGGAACUGGACAACGGUCCGAACUCCUACGGGAGGAGGCAGAAGGGAAUCUUCCGCAAUGGGCGAAGGCUUGACGGAGCAACCCCGCGUGAGUGAUGAAGGUCUUCGGAUCGUAAGACUCUUUUAAUAGGGAGGAACAAAUGUGUAAGUAACUGUGCACGUCUUGACGGUACCUAAUCAGAAAGCCACGGCUAACUACGUG
This 497-nucleotide ribosomal RNA is filed under the name uncultured bacterium. RNAcentral's name for it is "partial 16S ribosomal RNA". It matches the Rfam family "Bacterial small subunit ribosomal RNA", at positions 28 to 507 of the family's 1533-position model. The record is from RNAcentral.